UCCAAGUCUUCUGUGUGUGCACACUUGUACAGUAUUUGUAUGCAUUGUCGAUGUAUAACUGUAUAUGUGCAGAUAUGUAUUAUACAGAGGUGUUAUUUUUUUGUUGUGUUUUGGGUUUUGUUUAUUUUUUUUUCCAAGAUCAAGUUUCUCUGUAUGGUUUUGGCUAUUCUGGAAUUCACUCUGUAGACUGGGAUGGCCUCAAAUUCAGAAAUCUGUUUGUUUUUGCCCCUUGAGUACUAGGAUUAAAGAUGUGCACCACCAUACCAGGCUGAAUUAAGUUCCUUAUCAGAAAUUGAGCAAUCUAUUUCUAGUGGGGAAAGAGAGAGAAAAGACAGAAUAUGGAUCCCAAACUGGGUUGGGCAGUGCAUGCCUUUAAUCCAGCAUUUGGGAGGCAGAGGCAAAUGGUUCUCUGUGAGUUCCAGGCCAGCCUAGUCUACAUAUCAAGUUCCAGGACAGCCAGAACUAUAUAGUAGGGAGUUCCUGUC
Molecule: long non-coding RNA, 485 nt
Filed under: Rattus norvegicus (Norway rat)
Lineage: Eukaryota; Metazoa; Chordata; Mammalia; Rodentia; Muridae
Description: long non-coding RNA NONRATT019438
Source: RNAcentral